UUUUUUGAGAGUUUGAUCCUGGCUCAGGAUGAACGCUGGCGGCAUGCCUAAGACAUGCAAGUCGAACGGAGCGAACUUAUGAAAAUGGAGUGCUUGCACAAAGUUGGAAUUUGACCUCGCUUAGUGGCGAAAGGGUGAGUAACACGUGGGAAUCUGCCUUUAAGACUGGGACAACAGUUGGAAACGACUGCUAAUACCGGAUGAUAUAUAAGAUGAUACGUUAUCUUAUAUUAAAAGAAGCCUUUAAAGCUUCACUUAAAGAUGAGCCUGCGGCGUAUUAGCUAGUUGGUAAGGUAAUGGCUUACCAAGGCGACGAUGCGUAG
RNAcentral lists this non-coding RNA (323 nucleotides) under Mycoplasma sp. CAG:611. RNAcentral describes it as "Bacterial small subunit ribosomal RNA". It matches the Rfam family "Bacterial small subunit ribosomal RNA", at positions 1 to 286 of the family's 1533-position model. The record is from Rfam by way of RNAcentral. Lineage: Bacteria; Bacillati; Mycoplasmatota; Mollicutes; Mycoplasmatales; Mycoplasmataceae.